This 605-nucleotide ribosomal RNA is filed under the name uncultured archaeon. RNAcentral describes it as "bacterial SSU rRNA". It matches the Rfam family "Archaeal small subunit ribosomal RNA", at positions 324 to 929 of the family's 1478-position model. The record is from RNAcentral.
UACGGGGUGCAGCAGGCGCGAAAACUUUACAAUGCGGGAAACCGUGAUAAGGGGACACCGAGUGCCAGCAUCAUAUGCUGGCUGUCCGGGUGUGUAAAAUACACCUGUUAGCAAGGGCCGGGCAAGACCGGCGCCAGCCGCCGCGGUAACACCGGCGGCCCGAGUGGUGAUCGUGAUUAUUGGGUCUAAAGGGUCCGUAGCCGGUUUGGUCAGUCCUCCGGGAAAUCUGAUAGCUCAACUAUUAGGCUUUCGGGGGAUACUGCCAGGCUUGGAACCGGGAGAGGUAAGAGGUACUACAGGGGUAGGAGUGAAAUCUUGUAAUCCCUGUGGGACCACCUGUGGCGAAGGCGUCUUACCAGAACGGGUUCGACGGUGAGGGACGAAAGCUGGGGGCACGAACCGGAUUAGAUACCCGGGUAGUCCCAGCCGUAAACGAUGCUCGCUAGGUGUCAGGCAUGGCGCGACCGUGUCUGGUGCCGCAGGGAAGCCGUGAAGCGAGCCACCUGGGAAGUACGGCCGCAAGGCUGAAACUUAAAGGAAUUGGCGGGGGAGCACAACAACGGGUGGAGCCUGCGGUUUAAUUGGACUCAACGCCGGACAACUCA